RNAcentral lists this ribosomal RNA (656 nucleotides) under uncultured bacterium. RNAcentral's name for it is "bacterial SSU rRNA". It matches the Rfam family "Bacterial small subunit ribosomal RNA", at positions 124 to 775 of the family's 1533-position model. The record is from RNAcentral.
AUCUACCGAGUAGUGGGGGAUAGCCAUUGGAAACGAUGGUUAAUACCGCAUAUAUCCUACGGGGGAAAGCAGGGGACCUUCGGGCCUUGCGCUAUUCGAUGAGCCUGAGUGAGAUUAGCUAGUUGGUGGGGUAAAGGCCUACCAAGGCGACGAUCUCUAGCUGGUCUGAGAGGAUGAUCAGCCACACUGGAGCUGAGACACGGUCCAGACUCCUACGGGAGGCAGCAGUGGGGAAUAUUGCACAAUGGACGAAAGUCUGAUGCAGCCAUGCCGCGUGUGUGAAGAAGGCCUUCGGGUUGUAAAGCACUUUCAGCGAGGAGGAAAGGUCAGUAAGUAAUAUUUGCUGGCUGUGACGUUACUCGCAGAAGAAGCACCGGCUAAUUUAGUGCCAGCAGCCGCGGUAAUACUAAAGGUGCAAGCGUUAAUCGGAAUUACUGGGCGUAAAGCGCGCGUAGGUGGUUUGUUAAGUUGGAUGUGAAAGCCCAGGGCUCAACCUUGGAACUGCAUUCAAAACUGACUCACUAGAGUACGAGAGAGGUUAGUGGAAUUUCCUGUGUAGCGGUGAAAUGCGUAGAGAUGGGAAGGAACACCAGUGGCGAAGGCGACUGACUGGCUCGAUACUGACACUGAGGUGCGAAAGCGUGGGGAGCAAACGG